Temnothorax curvispinosus is the source of this 721-nucleotide long non-coding RNA. RefSeq lists it as uncharacterized. Lineage: Eukaryota; Metazoa; Arthropoda; Insecta; Hymenoptera; Formicidae. The record is from RefSeq and is a predicted model, not a curated record. The transcript is spliced from 3 exons.
AUGAGUAGGGGGGACGGAGCGGGGGUAGUGGAGGAUCGCCGGUCGAGGCUGCUGCCAGUGCCCAGGCAAUCCAGGCAUACCGAACACGGUGUCACAGCGAUUGCGCCAGGCGCCUCCCGCUCAUUCUACCCCCAUUCCAUCCCCACCGCUUGAGUUGCCCGGGAGCCGCGGCUUUCUCCCGGUAUCUGCACAACGUAAACGUAUUAAUUAUUAAUUAGCGCAAGUUCGCGUCACGUCGCGUCGCGUCGUUGCAUAGGUAUGGGUAUGACGGAUUUCGAAAGUUUCCGUUUCGCGGGCGGACGAGUGAAACAGCCGGGAGCAGCGAAGAGGAGCGGAAAAGAGCAACGCGAAAGGAACGAGCACAGGAAGCUGUGAAAUGUGCGGCGACGACGCAUCCGCCGAAAAUAACGACUUGGAGAGGGUCGCAUCGAGAGAAUCAUACGCAGCAGAUUAUCUGGAUGGCCUGAGAGGAGGAGGAGACCUUGGAUAGGCAUCGGGCGCCAGCGGAUCAACCGUACGAAUCGACGUAGCUACGUGGCUGAUAAUUCCGCUGCUGCGCAUCGGUCGGUGAGUGACAAAACUUAUUUCAAUAGUGAAGGAGAUAUUGCGUACAAUUAUUUGGAGCGCACAUAGUCAUUUGUAAAAUCCGUUUCCGAACGCAGCCAUACCUAGUAGGAUACAAUAAAGUAUGCAUAUCCCGAGAAAAAAAUAUAAACAUGCA